Molecule: ribosomal RNA, 287 nt
Filed under: uncultured Eubacterium sp.
Lineage: Bacteria; Bacillati; Bacillota; Clostridia; Eubacteriales; Eubacteriaceae
Description: partial 16S ribosomal RNA
Rfam family: Bacterial small subunit ribosomal RNA (bases 1-236)
Source: RNAcentral
CGUGACUACCAANUGGCCCGGGUANCAAAGGAGGUUGCAAGNCCCGCCGAGGGGGAGCCAAUCUCAAAAAGCCGGUCUCAGUUCAGAUUGUAGGCUGCAACUCGCCUACAUGAAGGCGGAAUCGCUAGUAAUCCCGGAUCAGCAUGACCGGGGUGAAUACGUUCCCGGGCCUUGUACACANCCGCCCGUCACANCCAUCGAAAAGGUCAGUUGUACCCAGGAAGGUCACCUGCUGCCAANCCCUGANAAAGGGGANGGGCAGGGUGACUCGAAGGGUANUGAAUUGG